UACAGAGGGUGCGAGCGUUAAUCGGAAUUACUGGGCGUAAAGCGUGCGUAGACGGUUAUUUAAGUCGGGUGUGAAAGCCCCGGGCUCAACCUGGGAAUUGCAUUCGAGACUGAAUAGCUAGGGUACGGUAGAGGGAAGUGGAAUUUCCGGUGUAGCGGUGAAAUGCGUAGAUAUCGGGAGGAACACCGGUGGCGAAGGCGGCCCCCUGGUUGGAUACCGACGCUGAGACGCGAAAGCGUGGGGAGCAAACAGG
RNAcentral lists this ribosomal RNA (253 nucleotides) under uncultured bacterium. RNAcentral describes it as "partial 16S ribosomal RNA". It matches the Rfam family "Bacterial small subunit ribosomal RNA", at positions 524 to 776 of the family's 1533-position model. The record is from RNAcentral.